AUUAGAUACCCGGGUAGUCCUAGCCGUAAACGAUACUCGCUAGGUGUCGGCCACGGUGCGACCGUUGUCGGUGCCGUAGGGAAGCCGUGAAGCGAGCCACCUGGGAAGUACGGCCGCAAGGCUGAAACUUAAAGGAAUUGGCGGGGGAGCACCACAACGGGUGGAGCUUGCGGUUUAAUUGGAUUCAACGCCGGAAAUCUUACCGGGACCGACAGCAAUAUGAGGGCCAGGCUGAAGACUUUGCCGGAUUAGCUGAGAGGUGGUGCAUGGC
RNAcentral lists this ribosomal RNA (271 nucleotides) under uncultured archaeon. Its description in RNAcentral is "partial 16S ribosomal RNA". It matches the Rfam family "Archaeal small subunit ribosomal RNA", at positions 728 to 998 of the family's 1478-position model. The record is from RNAcentral.